Molecule: ribosomal RNA, 591 nt
Filed under: Martinezella tropici
Lineage: Bacteria; Pseudomonadati; Pseudomonadota; Alphaproteobacteria; Hyphomicrobiales; Rhizobiaceae
Description: bacterial SSU rRNA
Rfam family: Bacterial small subunit ribosomal RNA
Source: RNAcentral
AGGCUUAACACAUGCAAGUCGAGCGCCCCGCAAGGGGAGCGGCAGACGGGUGAGUAACGCGUGGGAAUCUACCUUUUGCUACGGAAUAACGCAGGGAAACUUGUGCUAAUACCGUAUGUGUCCUUCGGGAGAAAGAUUUAUCGGCAAGAGAUGAGCCCGCGUUGGAUUAGCUAGUUGGUGGGGUAAAGGCCUACCAAGGCGACGAUCCAUAGCUGGUCUGAGAGGAUGAUCAGCCACAUUGGGACUGAGACACGGCCCAAACUCCUACGGGAGGCAGCAGUGGGGAAUAUUGGACAAUGGGCGCAAGCCUGAUCCAGCCAUGCCGCGUGAGUGAUGAAGGCCCUAGGGUUGUAAAGCUCUUUCACCGGAGAAGAUAAUGACGGUAUCCGGAGAAGAAGCCCCGGCUAACUUCGUGCCAGCAGCCGCGGUAAUACGAAGGGGGCUAGCGUUGUUCGGAAUUACUGGGCGUAAAGCGCACGUAGGCGGAUCGAUCAGUCAGGGGUGAAAUCCCAGGGCUCAACCCUGGAACUGCCUUUGAUACUGUCGAUCUGGAGUAUGGAAGAGGUGAGUGGAAUUCCGAGUGUAGAGGUG